This 339-nucleotide unclassified non-coding RNA is filed under the name uncultured Entrophosporaceae. RNAcentral describes it as "uncultured Claroideoglomeraceae sequence contains 18S rRNA gene". The record is from RNAcentral. Lineage: Eukaryota; Fungi; Glomeromycota; Glomeromycetes; Entrophosporales; Entrophosporaceae.
CCCAACUAUCCCUAUUAAUCAUUACGGUGAUCCUAGAAACCAACAAAAUAGAACCAUCCGUCCUAUUUUAUUAUUCCAUGCUAAUGUAUUCAAGCAAAAUGCCUGCUUUAAACACUCUAAUUUUUUCAAAGUAAAGGUCCUGGUUCCUCGCGGCACCCAAUUAAGGACAUCGCGGUUCUCCAGAAGGUGAGAAACUGACUACACCAGUUCAUACCCCUUAAGGCACGACCGAUGUGUCAAUCCCGAAAUUCAACUACGAGCUUUUUAACUGCAACAACUUUAAUAUACGCUAUUGGAGCUGGAAUUACCGCGGCUGCUGGCACCAGACUUGCCCUCCAA